This 590-nucleotide ribosomal RNA is filed under the name Staphylococcus aureus. RNAcentral describes it as "bacterial SSU rRNA". It matches the Rfam family "Bacterial small subunit ribosomal RNA", at positions 202 to 785 of the family's 1533-position model. The record is from RNAcentral. Lineage: Bacteria; Bacillati; Bacillota; Bacilli; Caryophanales; Staphylococcaceae.
ACGGUCUUGCUGUCACUUAUAGAUGGAUCCGCGCUGCAUUAGCUAGUUGGUAAGGUAACGGCUUACCAAGGCAACGAUGCAUAGCCGACCUGAGAGGGUGAUCGGCCACACUGGAACUGAGACACGGUCCAGACUCCUACGGGAGGCAGCAGUAGGGAAUCUUCCGCAAUGGGCGAAAGCCUGACGGAGCAACGCCGCGUGAGUGAUGAAGGUCUUCGGAUCGUAAAACUCUGUUAUUAGGGAAGAACAUAUGUGUAAGUAACUGUGCACAUCUUGACGGUACCUAAUCAGAAAGCCACGGCUAACUACGUGCCAGCAGCCGCGGUAAUACGUAGGUGGCAAGCGUUAUCCGGAAUUAUUGGGCGUAAAGCGCGCGUAGGCGGUUUUUUAAGUCUGAUGUGAAAGCCCACGGCUCAACCGUGGAGGGUCAUUGGAAACUGGAAAACUUGAGUGCAGAAGAGGAAAGUGGAAUUCCAUGUGUAGCGGUGAAAUGCGCAGAGAUAUGGAGGAACACCAGUGGCGAAGGCGACUUUCUGGUCUGUAACUGACGCUGAUGUGCGAAAGCGUGGGGAUCAAACAGGAUUAGAUAC